AUGGGCGUCGGCCCUUCCGUCGCCGACGGCGGCGACACCACGGCGGUGACGGGGUCCAUCAGCGAGGUGCCCAAGGUGUCCGGCACCCACGAGUUCACGAUCCGCGAGUACAGCCGCACCAAGGGCAUGGGCGUGGGCAAGUCGAUCCUGUCGCAGUACUUCUCCGUCGACGGCCGCCGCUGGUACAUCCGCUUCUACCCGGACGGCUACAGCACGGCCGACGGCGCGUGGGUCGCCUUCUACGCGCAGACGCUCUACAAGCCGCAGUUCCGCCCCGUGCGCGCCGAGUUCACCUUCCAGCUCCUCGGCCCCAACGGCGACGUCCGCCACACGCGCCGCUCAGAUCGCGCCUGCAAGUACGACACCUUCUGCAACAGCUGGGGCAUCCGCCGCUACAUCACCCGGGAGCAGCUCGAGAGCGCGGCGCUCGGCGCCAUCCACGCCGACUCCAUCACCGUGCGCUGCACCGUCACGAUCCACCUGGCGCGGAGGAGGAGCCUCGCGAUCAACCGCCCGGGCCUCGUCCAGAUGCCGCCGCCGCCGCCGUCCAACCACGGGGAGAACGCCCUCAGGUUCCUCGCCGGCGGGAAGGCCCCCUUCGACGUGCGCUUCGACGUGGACGGCGAGAUCUUCGAGGCGCACCGGAUGGUGGUGGCCGCGCAGUCGGCGUGGUUCGAGAGCCUCCUCUACGGCCACGGCCGCGAGGCGGGCAAGGACGUCCUCGAGGUCGGCGGCGGCAUUGUCACCGCGGAGGCGUUCCGGGGCGUGCUCCACUUCAUCUACACCGACGAGCUGCCCCCCGAGGCCGCCAAGGGGAGGGGGUCGUACGACCUGACGCUGCGGCUGUUCGAGGCGGCCGACUACUACCUCAUCGAGAGGCUGAAGCUGAUGUGCGCGUGCAGGCUGGGCGACUUCAUCAAGGACUCCACCGUGGACGAGCUCAUGGAGAUCGCGGAGGACUACUCGUGCAAGGACCUCGGGCAGGCGUGCCGGAACUUCGCGGCGCGCAGGGGCCUGAGUUUGGCAGCGAUAAAGAGGAGAUUAUUGUCCAGCGGCGCUGCUCCGGCGACGAGGAGGAUCAUGGACGUGCCGGCUCCGUCGACGAGCGGCUGA
This 1113-nucleotide ribosomal RNA is filed under the name Triticum aestivum (bread wheat). RNAcentral's name for it is "partial small subunit ribosomal RNA". Lineage: Eukaryota; Viridiplantae; Streptophyta; Magnoliopsida; Poales; Poaceae. The record is from RNAcentral.